This 442-nucleotide ribosomal RNA is filed under the name uncultured bacterium. Its description in RNAcentral is "partial 16S ribosomal RNA". It matches the Rfam family "Bacterial small subunit ribosomal RNA", at positions 338 to 795 of the family's 1533-position model. The record is from RNAcentral.
CCUACGGGCGGCAGCAGUGGGGGAUAUUGGACAAUGGGGGGAACCCUGAUCCAGCGAAGCCGCGUGAGUGAAGACGUAUUUCGGUAUGUAAAGCUCUGUCAGUCGGGAAGCAAGCAAUGACGGUACCUGACCAAGAAGCCCCGGCUAACUACGUGCCAGCAGCAGCGGUAAUACGUAGGAUGCGAGCGUUAUCCGGAUUUAUUGGGUUGAAAGGGUGCGCAGGCGGAGGCACAAGUCAGCGGUAAAAUCGCGGUGCUCAACCCCGCACCGCCGUUGAAACUGUGUCCCUUGAGUGCGCGAAGGGUAGGCGGAAUGCGUGGUGUAGCGGUGAAAUGCAUAGAUAUCACGCAGAACUCCGAUCGCGAAGGCAGCCUACCGGCGCGCAACUGACGCUGAUGCACGAAAGCGUGGGUAUCGAACAGGAUUAGAUACCCGAGUAGUC